UUGCUGUGAUGACUUAUCUUAGGACACCUUUGGAACACCCAUGAAAAAAAGGAGAUUAUUUCUGAGCAAC
Columba livia (rock pigeon) is the source of this 70-nucleotide small nucleolar RNA. RefSeq annotates it as small nucleolar RNA SNORD58. The transcript has a single exon. Lineage: Eukaryota; Metazoa; Chordata; Aves; Columbiformes; Columbidae. The record is from RefSeq and is a predicted model, not a curated record.